RNAcentral lists this transfer RNA (83 nucleotides) under Candidatus Daviesbacteria bacterium RIFCSPHIGHO2_01_FULL_40_24. RNAcentral's name for it is "tRNA-Tyr". It matches the Rfam family "tRNA". Rfam says of the family: Transfer RNA (tRNA) molecules are approximately 80 nucleotides in length. Their secondary structure includes four short double-helical elements and three loops (D, anti-codon, and T loops). The record is from RNAcentral. RNAcentral also lists the same sequence under 3 other names. Lineage: Bacteria; Candidatus Daviesiibacteriota.
CCGGAGGUGGCAGAGUGGCCAAUUGCUCCAGACUGUAAAUCUGGCGGGAUUUCCCUACGGAGGUUCGAACCCUCCCCUCCGGA